RNAcentral lists this ribosomal RNA (587 nucleotides) under Salmonella enterica subsp. enterica serovar Kentucky. Its description in RNAcentral is "partial 23S ribosomal RNA". It matches the Rfam family "Bacterial large subunit ribosomal RNA", at positions 628 to 1215 of the family's 2925-position model. Lineage: Bacteria; Pseudomonadati; Pseudomonadota; Gammaproteobacteria; Enterobacterales; Enterobacteriaceae. The record is from RNAcentral.
CUUAUAUUCUGUAGCAAGGUUAACCGUAUAGGGGAGCCGAAGGGAAACCGAGUCUUAACUGGGCGUUAAGUUGCAGGGUAUAGACCCGAAACCCGGUGAUCUAGCCAUGGGCAGGUUGAAGGUUGGGUAACACUAACUGGAGGACCGAACCGACUAAUGUUGAAAAAUUAGCGGAUGACUUGUGGCUGGGGGUGAAAGGCCAAUCAAACCGGGAGAUAGCUGGUUCUCCCCGAAAGCUAUUUAGGUAGCGCCUCGUGAACUCAUCUUCGGGGGUAGAGCACUGUUUCGGCUAGGGGGUCAUCCCGACUUACCAACCCGAUGCAAACUGCGAAUACCGAAGAAUGUUAUCACGGGAGACACACGGCGGGUGCUAACGUCCGUCGUGAAGAGGGAAACAACCCAGACCGCCAGCUAAGGUCCCAAAGUCACAGUUAAGUGGGAAACGAUGUGGGAAGGCUCAGACAGCCAGGAUGUUGGCUUAGAAGCAGCCAUCAUUUAAAGAAAGCGUAAUAGCUCACUGGUCGAGUCGGCCUGCGCGGAAGAUGUAACGGGGCUAAACUGUGCACCGAAGCUGCGGCAGCGACGCU